AGCAGCCGCGGUAAUUCCAGCUCCAAUAGCGUAUAUUAAAGUUGUUGCAGUUAAAAAGCUCGUAGUUGAAUUUCGGGAUCAGUUGAUCGGUCGUGCCUCGGUACGUACUGGUCAAAUUGAUUCCUACCUUCUGACGAACCACGAUGUCAUUAAUUUGGUGUCGUGGGAAAUCAGGACUGUUACUUUGAAAAAAUUAGAGUGUUUAAAGCAGGCUCGCGCUUGAAUACAUUAGCAUGGAAUAAUGAAAUAGGACGUUUGAUUCUAUUUUGUUGGUUUCUAGGAUCGACGUAAUGAUUAAUAGGGAUAGUUGGGGGCAUUAGUAUUCAAUUGUCAGAGGUGAAAUUCUUGGAUUUAUUGAAGACUAACUACUGCGAAAGCAUUUGCCAAGGAUGUUUUCAUUAAUCAAGAACGAAAGUUAGGGGAUCGAAGACGAUCAGAUACCGUCGUAGUCUUAACCAUAAACUAUGCCGACUAGGGAUCGGAUGAUGUUAAUUUUUUAAUGACUCAUUCGGCGCCUUACGGGAAACCAAAGUGUUU
Molecule: ribosomal RNA, 537 nt
Filed under: uncultured Glomeromycotina
Lineage: Eukaryota; Fungi; Glomeromycota
Description: SSU rRNA
Rfam family: Eukaryotic small subunit ribosomal RNA
Source: RNAcentral